This 1313-nucleotide ribosomal RNA is filed under the name Micropygomyia cayennensis. RNAcentral describes it as "16S ribosomal RNA". The stretch from base 1053 to 1212 matches the Rfam family "Eukaryotic large subunit ribosomal RNA", at positions 2825 to 2984 of the family's 3401-position model. Lineage: Eukaryota; Metazoa; Arthropoda; Insecta; Diptera; Psychodidae. The record is from RNAcentral.
UUAAUAAAAAUUUAUUAAAUAAUUAUUAUAUAAAAAAAUAAUUUAAAUUUUAGUAUUUUUUAAAGAAAAAAUAUUAGUUAUUAUAGAUUAAAGUAUUGAAAAAGAAAGUUGAAAUAAUUGAAAAUUAAAUAUAUAUAAAGAAAUUUUAAUUUAAUGUACCUUUUGUAUCAGGGAUUAUUAAUUAAUUAAUAUAAAUUUAUUAAUUUCGAAAUAAAAAGAUUUAAUUUAAUAUAAUUUUUAGUGUAAUAAAAUUAUCUUACAUAUUAAAUUAGAAUUAAAAAAUUAGUCGGUUUUUAUUAUAUCUAAUUUUUUUAGAAAUAAGUUAAAUUUAGUUUAUAAAAUUUAUUUAAUUAUUUUUAAAAUUAAAUAAAAUUUUAUAAAUAAUAUAUAAAGGGAUAAGCUUUUAUAUAAAAUUAUAAAAUUAUUAAAUAUAAAAAUUUAUAUAUUCUUAAAAAUAGAAAUUAUAAAAUAAUAUGUUAUAAUUUAAUACAUUAUGAUUAUAAUAUUUAGUUUUUUUUAAUUAUUUAUAAAAAUGUUUAAUUUAAUAAGAAAAAUUAAAGUAAUAAUGAUAAUAUUAGUAUAUUUAAAUGUAUUAAAUAUAAAAAUAAAUUAUAUGUGUGUAAGGAACUCGGCAAAUAUAAGUAUUCGCCUGUUUCUUAAAAACAUGUCUUUAAGGAUUUAUUUAAGGUUUAAUCUGCCCACUGAAUGUAUUUAAAGGGCCGCAGUAUAUUAACUGUGCAAAGGUAGCAUAAUCAUUAGUUUUUUAAUUGAAAGCUAGAAUGAAUGAUUGGACGAGAUAUUUACUGUCUUAUACGUAUAAUAAUAAAAUUUUAUUUUUUAUUUAAAAAGUUAAAAUAAAAUAAAAAGACGAGAAGACCCUAUAGAUCUUUAUAUAAUUAAUAGUUUAAUAAAAAUCAGUUAAAAUUAUUUUUAAAUUAUUAUUAUAUUAUGUUGGGGUAAUAAUAAAAUUUUUAAAAUUUUUAUUUAUUAUAAACAUUUAUAAUUGAAUUUUUGAUCCAAUAAUAUUGAUUAAAAAAUUAAGUUACCUUAGGGAUAACAGCGUAAUGAUUUUUGAGAGUUCUUAUUGAUAAAAUAGUUUGUGACCUCGAUGUUGAAUUAAAAUUAAUUUUGGAUGCAGGAGUUUAAAAGAUAAGGUCUGUUCGACCUUUAAUAUUUUACAUGAUUUGAGUUUAGACCGGCGUGAGCCAGGUCAGUUUCUAUCUUUUAUUAAAUAAUAUAUUUUAGUACGAAAGGAUUAAAUAUAUAAUAAAUUUUUAUUAAAAAAUAAUUGUAUAAUAAUAAUUUGAAGAUAU